Molecule: long non-coding RNA, 4742 nt
Filed under: Brassica napus (rape)
Lineage: Eukaryota; Viridiplantae; Streptophyta; Magnoliopsida; Brassicales; Brassicaceae
Description: long non-coding RNA (BNAP_LNC022848)
Rfam family: MIR9563 microRNA precursor family (bases 4067-4191)
Source: RNAcentral
CAAACCAAUGAUUCAAAAUUUAGUUUCAGUCUAAAAAUAACAAUCGGGUUUCUAAUAUAAAACAAACUCGGUGCUUCACCAGAAUAGUUGUCCUCUUCUCAAACAUAUCUCAAUUUAUUGUUUGAAGCUAACCUAUUAUAAAGAGAUAUCCAAAAGAAGAGACCACCAAACAAAAACAAAAACAAAAAUGGCGUCCAAAGCCUUCUUCUUCUCUUUUUUUGUCGUCUCCGUCGUGUGUUUGUCCUCUCUCGCCGGAUUUUCCGCCGCCGAUGCUGAUGAUUUUGACCGUUUCCAGAUUCAGGGAUCGGUUUAUUGUGACACUUGCCGUGUCCAAUUCGUUACCCGUCUCAGCAAAUUCCUUGAAGGUAUAUUAAAUUUAUAAUAAGUAUUUUAAUAAAAAGUUAUGAAUGUGUGAUGUGAAUACAUUGAAGCCAGAAUAGUCAACAGAAAAAAAUUAACACAUCAAAACUCGUUUGAUAACAGUUACAAAAAGAAGAAAAAAAGUCGUUUGAUAACAAUUACAUAACGAAAUAGUUUUUUUAAACUUGCAUAACGAAAUAGUUUGAGAAGAUUACGUUUGCGCGCACUCUAUCUUGCAUGUUAAGAGAAUCCAUGCAGCGUCAAGCAAUGCUAUAUAGAUUUUUAAAUCCAAAUGAAAGGCAAUUGAACAAUAUCACUAGAGUAAUUAAUUACCGGGCCAAACUAUAAUGCGACCGCCCACGGCUAAUGGCCAUUCAUGCCCGCUCUCUCGGCCCGUGGUCCCCAUCCCGUCUGACGAGCGGUGCGUUAUUUUCUCCAAGGUCCGAAAGUCUUGUGUACUAACCCUGCAAUCACCACCCAACUUUUCCCCGUGCUUUGGCCUCACUCGCACGGUAUCGCUCACUUCCCGAUAGGUCAUCUAUCAUUUUACUACUCCAAUCCAAACACGCUUAACUCUGGAGUUCUAAACGGAUGUGUGACGGAAAAUGUAAGUCAACUUUGGUGACAUAGGUAGCCAAAUCAAUCUUCUUAAACAUUUCCAUAAAUCACAUCUCGGGAUGUUACGCAAAGUUUAAAAUCAAAUCAAUCGUGUAAUAUGUUCAAACAAUUAAGUAGUAGUUAGUUUGAUUUAAGUGCUACUCAUCCCUAGUCAGCUGAUGCACAACAUCGAUUCAGAAUUGAACCACAACUUUAUUUUAGUCUUUGGACUAUUCAUUGUUUCAAAUAUAUAUCUCCAACAUCAGUUUGUAAAGUUAAUAUCAACUAGACAUGAAACGAUUCAACCAUUGACAAACUCCAAAUCAUAUCAUGUUUUACUUAAAUAAAAAAAAGGUUAAUACGUAUCCUUAGACUCCAAAUAGCGACAAUAUAUAUACACAACUGGGCUAACAUGAUUUCAUAUUUGUGAAGGAGCGAAAGUGAAGUUGGAGUGCAGGAGCAGAACAAACGGAACCCUAGCGUUGACCAAAGAAGCCGUUACCGACAAAACGGGAAGCUACAUGAUGGAAGUAACUGGUGACCACGAAGAAGAAGUUUGUCAGCUUGUUUUGGUGCAAUCACCAGACAGUGGUUGCAGUGACGUCAGCGAAGAGGCAUACUUACGUAACGCCGCUAAGAUCAGUCUAACGGCAAAUGACGGUAUCGUCUCUCACGAGACACGUAUCGUUAACCCUCUCGGUUUCAUGGUUAAGACACCGUCAGCUGACUGUCCCGCUGCUUUCAAAGAGCUCGGUAUUGUCCCUGACGUUACUUUCUAAGCGAAGAAAGAAAGAAUAUAUGACGUGAGAGAUUUUACUUCUAUUUGCUUCAAUUUGAAGGGUUUUCCGUCAAGUUUAUCAAUUAUUUAUCAUUAUGAAUUAAUACCACUAGUAAUUAUUGAUGUUGAUUUUGCGGUUUUUGUUUUUGAUUAAUUUGAAUUGCAUGUGAGUCAUACUUUGUUGUUCUAUAAACAGAAAAAAAAAACAAGAGUUAACUUAUCAAUGCUGGAGAACUUAUCAAUUACUACACAAGUCAACAAAUCAUUAGAAGGGUAAUGAUUGAUCUGAAACCUAAUUAAAAUCUGAAUUUGAUACAAAGGAAAUGAUUUGAUUUUUUUCUGAAACCUUAUUAGAACUGAUAUUGUCAUUUUUGGGUCAAAUAUGUGAAUUUUAUUGAAAACUAGAGGGGGUCCGCGCAGAAUAUUGUUUUAUUGUUCAUAAAUAUGAUUUUCUGAUGAUGUGAUUAUGUUGUCAGUAUUUAUUUGUGAAAAACAUUAUUUGAUGUUUUAUGUUAUGUAGUAGGAGGUAAUAAGUUAAUAUAUUAUGUGUUUGUCUUUUUAAUAAUGUGUUGUAUUGUAUGUAUAAUACUACUUGUUAGUAGUGAAGUGAGUUUCUGAUGUAAAAUAUAUUGAAUUUCAAUAACUUUGUCUUAAGACAUUUGUUGAUUCUAAAAUUAACGGCGUCAAAAUUGUAUUUUAACUUUCACAUUUUUGAACAUUACUCUUUUUAGGUGUUUUUGCACACUCCCCCAUCUUUUGAUCUUGAGCCAUCACUAUCUAUGUAAUUCGUUUACCUCUCUCGUGCGCCUCUCUCGUGUGCAGUGCUUCUCACCAUCAUUGGGAAAAGACUCACCUACGUGCCCUUUUUUUCUUCACCUUCUUUUUCUGUAAGAUUAUAUGGUAUUUGUUAUAUAUCAGGCAUAUUAGUUCCAUGUUGUGCGGUAGUUUCUUACAGCAUUGUAUGUUAUUUCGGUCAAUAUUGGUCCUCUUUUUCUUUAGGCUUUGGCUAAGGUUAGAAACUACAUCUCGUUGGAUUGGGUCAGAGUUUAGUUGUCAUUGAUGUUGCUUUCCUCGUCGCUGGUUUGCCGUCAAUAGUCUCUGCUCGUCUUGGUUUCAAGAUCUGGUUUAUGGUGGUCUGACUUAUAUGCUCUUUUUCAUAGCUCGAGGAUGGUUCCACGGUUUGUUGAUUUCAUUUUGUCUAUUUUUAUCUCUUUUUUUCUCUCAUCUCGUUGCACCUUUCAUCGUUGAUCACGUCUCUUGCGACUCUUUUUUUCGUCAUAUUUGCUACUCCAGGUUUGGAUAUUGUUUUCUAUGUGUAUGCUUUGUGCACUUGGAAGGUUGUUUUAUAGUCUCUAGCUUAAGCUUUGGUUUCUCGGUGGUUGGCUUCCAUUCUCCUCCACUCAGAUUCUAUAUCUUCUUCUCAUGCAUCUCUUGGUGUAGGUGUGCGGAGUGAGUCUUUUGAAGCUUUGGUUUCUUCUAUUUAGAGUUUUGUGGUUCUUCGCUGGCAUGAGCACCUUGUAUGUGCUUGUUUAGUUUGUGAGGUGUUUUUUAUCUCUUAGCUGGUGGUCGUGCUUCCGGUGUUUUAGACAUGCGCCUUUUUUUUUCGUGGUGACUUUGUUCUUUCGAUGAUUAUUAUAUCUCUGACUCGUUUUUUUGGUUUUUUGCGCCGGGGCUUGAUCGCGAUCAUUUAUGUUCCGGAGAUUUCUUUAUCUCAUAUUUUAUCUUUUUACUUUUUUCUGAUAUCUGCUUGUUCUUGAAGGUUUGGACAAUGAGACAUCAUCUGAAGCAAUGUCAGCAUUGGUGGAGGGCUUAUCUUGUUGUCUUGGAGGAAGCUUACCUAGGCAGCGAGAAGCUUUGUGUCCCAAAAGACCGCAAUUAGAACAUUUAGAUGGCAGCCAUGAGUAUAACACAUCAACCAUAGUGAUAGAGCCACUCUCAUUCUUAAUAGGAACCUUAGACGGAAAAGCCUUAUUUAACUUUACUUGUACAAGGAUUUGCGUAGGGUCGAGCCAAGGUUUGCUAGUAAGCAUCGGAGCUUUAUAGGAACAGCUCUAACGGGCAUAUAUUGAUGGUAUUUGAUCUGUUGAAAAAAAAAAAAUAAUGAAAAAGAGGAAAGAGAAAUAUAUAAGUAUGUUAAACCAUCGCUUUUUAGUUACUUUUAAAAGAGAGGAUGUACACACAGUACAACUGUUUUUCUUCAUUGAUCAAAAAAAUAUUAAAUUAAAAACUAAAUUAUUAGUAAAAUAUUAUAUUUUUACUAAUCAAAAACGGGUUUCACCACCAUUGGAGCUGCUCUAACCUAAAAGCAUGAUUAAUGGUGGAGUUUUUAGCGGAAUAUAAGAAACCGUAUCUUAACUUUUAACUAAAAAAAUUAAGAACCGGUUUUUAAAUAAGAUAUUUAAGAGCCGGUUCUUAGCUUUUUUAGUUAAAAGUUAUGAGACGGGUUCUUAUAUUUUGCUAAGAAACCCACCCUAAGAACCUCCGUUAAUCAUGCUCUAAUCUAGAAAAUAAAUCCUUAAUAUUUUUUUUCUACUCUUUUAGGUCCAUUGAUUUGACCUAAUUAUAUUAAUAGCUGCGGUUUCUUUCUACCAAUGCUAUAUUUAAGCUUUAAUAAAAUAAACAUUCUUAUAUUCAAAACCUAUUGAAACUAAUUUUAAAUUUACAAACCAAUGAUUCAAAAUUUAGUUUCAGUCUAAAAAUAACAAUCGGGUUUCUAAUAUAAAACAAACUCGGUGCUUCACCAGAAUAGUUGUCCUCUUCUCAAACAUAUCUCAAUUUAUUGUUUGAAGCUAACCUAUUAUAAAGAGAUAUCCAAAAGAAGAGACCACCAAACAAAAACAAAAACAAAAAUGGCGUCCAAAGCCUUCUUCUUCUCUUUUUUUGUCGUCUCCGUCGUGUGUUUGUCCUCUCUCGCCGGAUUUUCCGCCGCCGAUGCUGAUGAUUUUGACCGUUUCCAGAUUCAGGGAUCGGUUUAUUGUGACACUUGCCGUGUCCAAUUCGUUACCCG